AAUAAUUCUAUGCCCAUUGUCCAAAAGUCAGGGAUAAUUAAACAUUUUUUUAUAUGGGUUGACUUUUGCUUCAAUUGAGUGUAAGGACUUUGUGGUUAUUAUAUAAACUGUCAUCAUCAUAUUUAUGAAAGGAUAAUAUAAAAAAUAAAAGAUAGUAUAAGAAUAAAUUGAGAGAAACACUUGAGGAAUUUUCUCUUCAUUAACCUGUUUCUUCACUUAAAAAAAAACUGGCUCAAUGACAAAUUUCUUAAGAUUAAGGAAUUUUAAGAUUAAGGAUCUACAAAAUGAACAUAUGUUGUUUAGUUAUUACCAGUCCUGUUUAUGAUUGCUAUGUUUCUUGAAGUCAUCCCAUAACUUUCCCAAUCUAGAGAAAGCUUUGCUUUUCUGUUCUUUGUAAUUUCUUCCUAGGACAUUUGGUUUCAGUACCAAGCUCUGCUAUUUACUAGCUAUGAAAUCCUAAGCCUAUUAUCCGCUCAGCCUGAAUAUCUCCAAGCUGAAAACUGAAAAGAUAGGGGACUUCUGGAUAAACAUGGCUGCAACCUAGACGUGAAUCGCUUCCUCUCCCUGGCACCGAACGAAAUGAACUACCUCAAAAGAGCAUAAAAUCAUCUUUGGAAGAACGGAGGGUCUCUCCAGUACCCCACAGAAAUAAAGCUCAUUUUACAGGUAAGGAAACGGGCAAACAGUUAAGUGACUUGCCCAGGGUCACAUGGCUGGUGGCUUUGAACUCAUGA
RNAcentral lists this long non-coding RNA (734 nucleotides) under Monodelphis domestica (gray short-tailed opossum). RNAcentral describes it as "lncRNA (ENSMODG00000037450.1)". The record is from RNAcentral. Lineage: Eukaryota; Metazoa; Chordata; Mammalia; Didelphimorphia; Didelphidae.